GCCGGAGUGGCGGAAUUGGCAGACGCGCUGUCUUGAGGGGGCAGUGCCCGAAAGGGCGUGCGGGUUCGAAUCCCGCCUCCGGCACCA
Molecule: transfer RNA, 87 nt
Filed under: Thermocrinis sp.
Lineage: Bacteria; Pseudomonadati; Aquificota; Aquificia; Aquificales; Aquificaceae
Description: tRNA-Leu
Rfam family: tRNA
About the family: Transfer RNA (tRNA) molecules are approximately 80 nucleotides in length.
Source: RNAcentral